Molecule: long non-coding RNA, 960 nt
Organism: Marmota monax (woodchuck)
Lineage: Eukaryota; Metazoa; Chordata; Mammalia; Rodentia; Sciuridae
Exons: 5
Source: RefSeq, a predicted model, not a curated record
AGUUUCAGCAAUUUGGGGACAUACUCGCCAUGUUCUGCUCUAUACCCAGUGGGAGGAGCAGCACUGAGGAGAGGAAGAAGAGCUCCAGGCCUAGCAGAUGCCUCAUGGGACCCGUACUCUGCAUGGCCAGGAAGGGACCUGGAGUAGAGAAGCGCCAUGUUUGCAACUGAACAGGACUCAGACCAAGGGAGGAAACUCCGUGUGAUGAAGAGUGAAGGUGAAGGAGCUGAGAAGCUGGACAGAGUGGGCAGGAACAUGGUGCAACUGCACAGAAGGCCACAGGGAGUAGGAACAGACCCAGCUGUCAGAUGGACUCAGGACAAGGCACCCCCCACCCUGCACAGUUCUGGUUCUGAAGUUUUGACCUUGGUCCAUAGGAUCUCAGGAAAUCCUCCAAUCUGGCCUCAAACAUGUGAUCCUCCUGCCUCAGUCUCCUGGUAGCUGGCAUUAUAUGUAUGACCACUGCACCAGGCUCUAUGGAUGUUUUGUCCCAGUGACCACACUCAAUGGCAGACUCAUGCACACUGUGGGGGAAGAAGUGGCUGUAGUGAAAGGUAAAUAAAAUCAUAAGCCAUCUUCACAUGGAAAGGCAGCCUUGGCUCUUUUGGAAAAUCCGGACUGCAGAUGUCCCCUGCCCUCUAAGAUAAUGGCCUUGCUCAGCCCUGCCACGUGGAAAGGAGGCGAAGGCCAAUGCAGCCCUGGUCAGAGGUGGAGUAGAAGCGUCUACCAAGUGCCUCCUGAUCAGCUUCAACAGCAGAGUGCUCAAGGUUUUGGCUGCUUCUGCUGGCCUCCAUCUCCCUGCUCACAGACCACAGAGAUGCCGGUCUGGCUCCAGGGCUGAGGUCUCCUGUGCGUCUCCAUGCAGGCCAUCGCUUCCUCCUGCUCUCACCUUCUCCACCUUCCCCUAUGACGUGUGCUUUUUUGUAACACAAUAAAGAUAGGAUUUAAUUGCAGAUAAAA